GAAAUGCGAUAAGUAGUGUGAAUUGCAGAAUUCAGUGAAUCAUCGAAUCUUUGAACGCACAUUGCGCCCCUGGUAUUCCGGGGGGCAUGCCUGUCCGAGCGUCAUUGCUGCCCUCAAGCCCGGCUUGUGUGUUGGGCCCUCGUCCCCCGGCUCCCGGGGGACGGGCCCGAAAGGCAGCGGCGGCACCGCGUCCGGUCCUCGAGCGUAUGGGGCUUCGUCUUCCGCUCCGUAGGCCCGGCCGGCGCCCGCCGACGCAUUUAUUUGCAACUUGUUUUUUUCCAGGUUGACCUCGGAUCAGGUAGGGAUACCCGCUGAACUUAAGC
This 323-nucleotide unclassified non-coding RNA is filed under the name plant metagenome. RNAcentral describes it as "partial contains 5.8S ribosomal RNA, internal transcribed spacer 2, and large subunit ribosomal RNA". The stretch from base 1 to 104 matches the Rfam family "5.8S ribosomal RNA", at positions 50 to 154 of the family's 154-position model. The record is from RNAcentral.